This 3774-nucleotide long non-coding RNA is filed under the name Brassica napus (rape). Its description in RNAcentral is "long non-coding RNA (BNAP_LNC001075)". Lineage: Eukaryota; Viridiplantae; Streptophyta; Magnoliopsida; Brassicales; Brassicaceae. The record is from RNAcentral.
CCACAAUCAAUAUGUGACCUUUAACGAGUGCAUGCCGUAUAAGAAUAAUGCAGGAACAUGAGAGACUAAUUGAAACACAUACUAUACAACAACAUCAAAUUCAUUACCCUAAUCAACUGAAAAUCAAAAAUUACAAAUUCAAUAAGCAUAUGAAAGAAACGCUUAAAACUCCAAAGCUAAAAUCGCAAAAAAUAGCUCUUUUGGUGAACAAAAAGUUCCUCAGCAUGCCCUAUUAAACUGCUAUAAAAUACCCCAAACCAAGUAUGCAGCUAGAACAUCCAUCUCCGUAAUAAUGAAGAAAACACAAAGACCAAAACUUUAGAGACCAAUAACCAAUCACAUUAUGAAUAACCCUCAGCUAAAUAUUGUAGAAAAGAAGACCUAAAGAUCCAUCGAAACAAACACUCUACAACAAUACCAAAUUCAGUGAAAACUAAACUACUCUAGAACAUCCAUCUCCCUAAUAAUGAAGAAACAAAAGGAUACACAAAGAUCAAAACUUUAUAGAGUCCAAGAAGCCAAUCAGCCUAUCGUGAAGCUUCUCUCAUCAAAGGAAGGAUAAUCUCAGAACUAAUCAAUCAACUCAAAAUGUUUAUUUCUUGCUGCACGAAAGAAGCAAUCAUACAAGGCAAAGCUAUUCCGGUAAGGAGUAGAAUGAAAGGAAAUGGUACAUCAAUCAAGCUCUAGUACACGGUCCUAGAUUCAUGGAAACCAAACACAACACGUAGAUACGAUAGUAAGAAUCUCAAUCAUUACGGGACUCAAUACAAACAAAACAAACAAAAAAAACGAAUUUUUACAUCAUUCAAUCAAUCAAUCAACACCUGAAAUGAAAAUUUAAAUCAAUCCAGAUGAAGAGAGAGGCGUGUAGAUCUGCAGACCUCUUAUGAGAUUCCUGUGGUAAGAAUCGAAAGGUGAAAGAUUGGUAGAGGGGACGGAUCUGGGAGGUGAAGAGGAGGAGCCGCCGCCAUCGGAGAGGGUAUGGUCUCGGGAAAGGGCGAAGGAGGUCGCGGUGGAAGAUCUCUGCGAAAGAGAAAAGAGCCUCCUUCCUGCUACUCGCAGCAUCUCUGCUCAAUGGGGAAUCUAGGGUUUCGAGAACAGAGUAGUCCUGAGGUUAGGGACGGCCAAUGCAACAGAGCGAAGAGUCUUCCCGUAAAAUUAGUCUUCUAGGAAAGAAAAGGUCAAAGCUUUUUAAUAUUUAUUCAUCCUGAAUAAAAUAUGUUUUUUCAGUUUGAUCUUUGAUGAGAGAUUUUGUUGUUUUACAAAUAUAAUUGUUGUUUAAUUAUAUUUUCGAUACAUUUAAAAAAAAAAAAUUCUUUAGGAUAGUCAAUUAGUCAUUUUUAUGUUUCUGUCACAAAUUAAGAAAAAAAUGACCAAUUUUUUUUUAUUAAAAGGUAAAAAUAUAUUUAUAUCCUAAGACUAAUUAAUUUAGACUUAAAGUUUAGAACUAAAGGAUUGGUUUUGAGCAUAGUGUUUUAAAUUUUAAAAAGUAAAACAGAAAUAUUAAAAAUUUUAAAAUAAAAAUGAAUUAUUUUGGUCAUUUUUUUCUUUGAACGUUAUUUUUGUGACAAAAACUUUAAAUGACUAUUUGAGAGAAUUGAAUUUUUUUAACAUUGACUUGUUUUUAUUAUAAAUUAUAAAAAAAAAUUAUUACAUUUGCAUUUUAUAAGAAUUUUUAUUUACAAAGUACACCAUAAUAAAAAAAAUACCCUAAUAAAAAUUGAUGUCAUUUUUUUCAUUUAAUCUAAUUUGACUAAACUUUUUGAUGUAUAAGUAUUAAUGAAUUAUUAUUUAACUACUAGAUAAAUUAUGUUUAACCUGACAAAAAUAUAUAUAUACUGUACACACAUAUUCAUCCAUAUCAAUUUGAGAACAAUGGUGUAUUUUAAAAAUCAAACCCAAACUUUAUUAAGAAGAGGAUCUUGUCUGCAAUGACAAUAACUAAUGAAUAAAAUGUAUUUGGCUUGCCAAAUUAAAAAAAAAAAUCCAAUUAAGCUAUUCAAAAUACAAAACUGUUUUCAAACAAUAAACACAUACAUCGUUUCAUUCACCAGAUGGGACAGAUGCUAAGUCAUACAAUGACAAGUUUGUAUUAUUCAGUAAAACCAAGCACAAUCGUUUACUUGCUGAGAAGACCAAAGUGUGAGGAAAGCGUACUUGCACUUAGCCAGAAAGUAUAUAUAAAAGAAAAACAAAAAAACAAAUGAGGAUCUUUGAGACACAAACACUGUCUGACGUGCGUUUAUUCAUCAACCAAUGAGUAACUUGUUCUCUUCCAAGAAGCUGUAAGUUGGUACUUCCAAGUUGUAAGGUGCAGGACCUUUCCUGAUCCUUCCAGAGAUGUCGUAAUGCGAACCGUGACACGGGCAAAACCAGCCACCAUAGUCACCAGCAGUGGCAGGUUCAGAACCAAAACCAACCUCGUUUCCUUGAGUAAGGACUUGAGAAGAAAAACCUGAUAAUAGCAUGAAAAAACAUUAAUAUGUUCACAUCAAAGCAAACUUUUUUUCAAUCACCACAAUCAAUAUGUGACCUUUAACGAGUGCAUGCCGUAUAAGAAUAAUGCAGGAACAUGAGAGACUAAUUGAAACACAUACUAUACAACAACAUCAAAUUCAUUACCCUAAUCAACUGAAAAUCAAAAAUUACAAAUUCAAUAAGCAUAUGAAAGAAACGCUUAAAACUCCAAAGCUAAAAUCGCAAAAAAUAGCUCUUUUGGUGAACAAAAAGUUCCUCAGCAUGCCCUAUUAAACUGCUAUAAAAUACCCCAAACCAAGUAUGCAGCUAGAACAUCCAUCUCCGUAAUAAUGAAGAAAACACAAAGACCAAAACUUUAGAGACCAAUAACCAAUCACAUUAUGAAUAACCCUCAGCUAAAUAUUGUAGAAAAGAAGACCUAAAGAUCCAUCGAAACAAACACUCUACAACAAUACCAAAUUCAGUGAAAACUAAACUACUCUAGAACAUCCAUCUCCCUAAUAAUGAAGAAACAAAAGGAUACACAAAGAUCAAAACUUUAUAGAGUCCAAGAAGCCAAUCAGCCUAUCGUGAAGCUUCUCUCAUCAAAGGAAGGAUAAUCUCAGAACUAAUCAAUCAACUCAAAAUGUUUAUUUCUUGCUGCACGAAAGAAGCAAUCAUACAAGGCAAAGCUAUUCCGGUAAGGAGUAGAAUGAAAGGAAAUGGUACAUCAAUCAAGCUCUAGUACACGGUCCUAGAUUCAUGGAAACCAAACACAACACGUAGAUACGAUAGUAAGAAUCUCAAUCAUUACGGGACUCAAUACAAACAAAACAAACAAAAAAAACGAAUUUUUACAUCAUUCAAUCAAUCAAUCAACACCUGAAAUGAAAAUUUAAAUCAAUCCAGAUGAAGAGAGAGGCGUGUAGAUCUGCAGACCUCUUAUGAGAUUCCUGUGGUAAGAAUCGAAAGGUGAAAGAUUGGUAGAGGGGACGGAUCUGGGAGGUGAAGAGGAGGAGCCGCCGCCAUCGGAGAGGGUAUGGUCUCGGGAAAGGGCGAAGGAGGUCGCGGUGGAAGAUCUCUGCGAAAGAGAAAAGAGCCUCCUUCCUGCUACUCGCAGCAUCUCUGCUCAAUGGGGAAUCUAGGGUUUCGAGAACAGAGUAGUCCUGAGGUUAGGGACGGCCAAUGCAACAGAGCGAAGAGUCUUCCCGUAAAAUUAGUCUUCUAGGAAAGAAAAGGUCAAAGCUUUUUAAUAUUUAUUCAUCCUGAAUAAAAUAUGUUUUUUCAGUUUGAUCUUUGAUGAGAGAUUUUGUUGUU